AUGUCAGUUUCAGAUACGAACCUUCAUAAUGGAGAAAAGCCCAUCUCCGAAAUUACCGAUGCGGAACUCGGCGAAAAGCAUGGUCAUAUGAAGUUAGUAUGCUCACACACAAGGUUCGGAAAAACCAUGAAACUGUUGUCACCAGACCACAAAAAGUACAUCAUAUUAGAAACCAGUCUAAGCGGUCUAACCCAGAUGCAUGAAGUGACUCUACGGCGCAUAAUGUUGGUUAGACUAGCCAAGAGAAUAGAUAUGGACACCCAAUCCAUUACCAUCGGAAAAACGCCAAUUCCUAUAACAAAAGAGGACGUGCAGUGUAUAUUUGGCAUUCCGAUAGAUGGGGAGGAUAUAGAGCCACAUCUGGAAAUGCAAACCGACACAGAAUUGUUUACCGCCUAUGCAAACAAUGGGCAAAUUUUGAUUUCUGACCUUGAAACGGCGAUCCGAGCUUCCAAAGCCCCAGACGGCGAUUUCCUGAGACGGUUCAUUCUGUACGCAAUUGGUACUGUUCUAGCACCAACAGCACAACAUUAUGUGGACUCGAAAUUUCUCAACCUUGUUACAGAUCUUCAAAACCUUUGGAAAUUUAACUGGGGAUGUUUCACACUUAAUCACUUCUUCAAGUCUGUGCACAAGUUUAGAAAUCGAGAUCACGUAAAUCUACAAGGAAAUCUAAUUCUGCUCCAGUAUUGGUACUGGGAGCACGUGCGUAGUGGCCGAUUGAUGUAUGCUUUCUAG
Molecule: ribosomal RNA, 738 nt
Filed under: Triticum aestivum (bread wheat)
Lineage: Eukaryota; Viridiplantae; Streptophyta; Magnoliopsida; Poales; Poaceae
Description: partial small subunit ribosomal RNA
Source: RNAcentral